GUGGUUUUCAUAUCUGAGAUAGUGCAGCGACAGGCAGGCAGCUGCGAAUCACAGUUCACCUUAGCUGAACUUCGCAAAUCUAUUUCAGCAAUGGCAGAAGGAACACAGUGAGUUUGUCGGGUCUACUGAUAGUCCGGCCCCGCCACCGAUGUGGCAAGCGAGGAAAUGUUGGUAGCCUAUUCUCAAUUAAUAUUUUUAAAAGAGUCGGCGAACUCAUCACAUCUUAUUUUGCUAUCGAUGCUUCUUUGCAGAAGGUUAUAUAGGCCUACUUUGCUACAAUGUUACAAUGUAUCUACUCAGAGCGCGUGUCACUACACAGCCUAGUCUUCUUUUCUCACACUCGCAUCGUUGUUGCGACCGUGCAGCGAGGACACAAUACUUACGGGGGAGUGGAAUUGGACGUGAGGGAGAGACAGGGUGAUGGUCGCUCAAGACUUGGACUUGAACUUGAACUUCAUCUUGAAAUUGGCGUCCUUGUCAAAUCGACAUUCAUCUUUUUUCCAUAAGAAAUAUAUAUUUUCUGUGAUUCAAUGACAAACUACGAGGAGAUAUAAGGAAAAUACAGAUGUUUUGAAGACAAGCAACUAAACAAGUGGACAUUUCAGAUCAACAGAAAGUCAAAGAUUUGAAGAAUGCAUGUUAUAGACAUUGUUAUAACAGCACAACAGAGGCCAUUUAUGGAGACAGACCAGACCACAAGGAAGACAUACCCACUCCAGUGCAAUGCAGGUAUACCAAUAUACAACCAUGUAUGCAUUGAAGGUGGCAAGACUGUACACUCCCCGGUACUGAAGCAACUUUGGCCGGACUGUCCACUCCCCCUGUACUGAAGCAACUUUAGCUUCAGCUUCAGUGUUUAAAAAAAAAAAACUCUGGGAAUUUUAUUCCUUUACUACUACGGAGGGUACAAAACAUUAGGAACAACUCCCUAAAAUUGAGUUGCACCCCCUUUUGCCUUUAGAACAGCCUCAAUUCGUCAGGGCAUGGACUCUACAAGGUGUCGAAACCGUUCCACAGGGAAGCUGGCCCAUGUUGACUCCAAUGCUUCCCACAGUUGUGCCAAGUUGGCUGGAUGUUCUUUGGGUGGUGGACCAUUCUUGAUACACACGAGAAACUGUUGAGCGUGAAAAACCCAGCAGCGUUGCAGUUCUUGACACAAAGAAACCAGUGUGCCUGGCACCUACUACCAUACCCUGUUCAAAGGCACUUAAAUAUUGUAUCUUGCCUAUUCACCAUCUGAAUGGCACAGAUACACAAUCCAUGUCUCAAUUGUCACAAGGAUUAAAAAUCCUUCUUUAAACUGUCUCGUUCCCUUUAUCUACACUGAUAGAAGUGGAUUUAACAUCAAUGAGGGAUCAAAGCUUUCAUCUUGAUCUACCUGGUCAGUCUAUGUCAUGAAAAGGGAAGGUGUUCCUAAUGUUUUGUACACUCAGUGUAUACUAUAAUUGACAUGUAGAGCUAUUUAAAUUGUUACCUUUGAUCAAGCUGAUUUUUUGUUAGUACUACUGUACACUCUGAACUGCCUUCAGCAUUUAUUAGAACUGCGACCAAAUAGGCCCCUCUGGUUUUAGAAUGCCUUUAGUGCGUGAGAGUUAGGAGGGGAUUUGAGCAUGGUGGAUUUAGCCGAGACAGAAACUCAAGGCAGAACUGAGAUGAUGAUGGUUGGUUGUAAUAUAUUUUCUCUGUAGAUGAUUAUUACAGCCUGACAAUGUUCAAUUCAAAACAUUAAUCAAAAAGUUAUGUCUUACCCUUGAAAUUGAAGUUGGUUUUCCGGGGAGUGGUUUUUGUCUUUCUCUGAAUGUAUCAUUGGCAUUUUGGGAACUUGGGAACCAAAGCUUUAGGGAUUCCAGUUAAGAGCUGCACACUGGAAUAACAUUAAAUGGGGUUUCAGUUGGGGCCAGUUGGAUGACAUCAAGGACAAGUCAGUGUCCUUUAAAAAUGAAUGUGAGCAUGCUCCUGUGAAGGACAGACAGAAGGCAGUUAUGGCAUAUUUUAGGAGAAGGACAUUUUUCAGGCAAAGGGGGCCAGGUAUACUGAGGGAAUACGACUGGUUAAUAUAACCUUUUUUCAGACUUUUGAGUCCUCUUGAGUCCCCAUCAUUUAUCUAUUUAUCUUGCUAUUUAUUUAUCUCACUAUUUAUCUCGCUCUCUUUCUCCCUCUUCUUUCUGUCUGUCACGACUUCCGCCGAAGUCGGCCCCUCUCCUUGUUCUGGCGGCGUUCAGCGGUCGACGUCACCGGCUUACUAGUCGCCACCGAUCCAUGUUUCCUUGUUCGUUUUGUUUUGUCUUAAUUAUACACACCUGUUUUCAAUUCCCUUAUUAUGUUCCCUAUUUAACCCUCUGGCUUCCAUUUCUGUUUUGUCCGUGAUUGUUCUUUGUCAGUGGUUGUUGGAGGUGUUUCUCCUCACCCUGUUAUUUUGCUGUUGGAGAUUUUGACUUUGGUUUUUGAGUAAACGAGACUGUUUUGAACUCAA
Molecule: long non-coding RNA, 2473 nt
Organism: Salmo salar (Atlantic salmon)
Lineage: Eukaryota; Metazoa; Chordata; Actinopteri; Salmoniformes; Salmonidae
Source: RefSeq, a predicted model, not a curated record